GAUGAAGAACGUAGCGAAAUGCGAUAAGUAGUGUGAAUUGCAGAAUUCAGUGAAUCAUCGAAUCUUUGAACGCACAUUGCGCCCCUUGGUAUUCCAUGGGGCAUGCCUGUUCGAGCGUCAUUUGUACCCUCAAGCUUUGCUUGGUGUUGGGCGUCUUGUCGUAUUACGACUCGCCUUAAAUACAUUGGCAGCCGGCACUUUGGCCUAGGAGCGCAGCACAUUUUGCGAUCGUAGCCCGUUGUACUGGCGUCCAUCAAGAACAUUUACCACGUUUGACCUCGGAUCAGGUAGGGAUACCCGCUGAACUUAAGCAUAUCAAUAGCGGAGGA
Molecule: unclassified non-coding RNA, 329 nt
Filed under: soil metagenome
Description: partial contains 5.8S ribosomal RNA, internal transcribed spacer 2, and large subunit ribosomal RNA
Rfam family: 5.8S ribosomal RNA (bases 1-120)
Source: RNAcentral